GACGAACGCUGGCGGCGUGCUUAACACAUGCAAGUCGAACGGUAAGGCCCUUCGGGGUACACGAGUGGCGAACGGGUGAGUAACACGUGGGUGAUCUGCCCUGCACUUCGGGAUCAGCCGGGGAAACUGGGUCUAAUACCGCAUAGGACCCUGGGAUGCAUGUCCUGGGGUGGAAAGCUUUUGCGGUGUGGGAUGGGCCCGCGGCCUAUCAGCUUGUUGGUGGGGUGAUGGCCUACCAAGGCGACGACGGGUAGCCGGCCUGAGAGGGUGACCGGCCACACUGGGACUGAGAUACGGCCCAGACUCCUACGGGAGGCAGCAGUGGGGAAUAUUGCACAAUGGGCGCAAGCCUGAUGCAGCGACGCCGCGUGAGGGAUGACGGCCUUCGGGUUGUAAACCUCUUUCAGCACCGACGAAGCGCAAGUGACGGUAGGUGCAGAAGAAGGACCGGCCAACUACGUGCCAGCCGCCGCCGUAA
Molecule: ribosomal RNA, 478 nt
Filed under: uncultured bacterium
Lineage: Bacteria
Description: partial 16S ribosomal RNA
Rfam family: Bacterial small subunit ribosomal RNA
Source: RNAcentral